This 511-nucleotide ribosomal RNA is filed under the name uncultured bacterium. RNAcentral describes it as "partial 16S ribosomal RNA". It matches the Rfam family "Bacterial small subunit ribosomal RNA", at positions 29 to 523 of the family's 1533-position model. The record is from RNAcentral.
AUUGAACGCUGGCGGCAUGCCUAACACAUGCAAGUCGAACGGCAGCACAGUAAAGAUUUCGGUCUUUAUGGGUGGCGAGUGGCGGACGGGUGAGUAAAGCGUAGGAAUCUGUCCUGGAGCGUGGGAUAACCCGAGGAAACUCGGGCUAAUACCACAUGAUAUCGAGAGAUCAAAAGCAGGGGACCGAAAGGCCUUGCGCUCUGGGGUGAGCCUACGUCGGAUUAGCUAGUUGGUGGGGUAAAGGCCUACCAAGGCGACGAUCCGUAGCUGGUCUGAGGGGAUGACCAGCCAGACUGGGACUGAGACACGGCCCAGACUCCUACGGGAGGCAGCAGUGGGGAAUCCUGGACAAUGGGGGAAACCCUGAUCCAGCGAUGCCGCGUGUGUGAAGAAGGCCUUCGGGUUGUAAAGCACUUUAGGUGAGGAAGAAAGGUAACGAGCGAAUAACUCGUUGCUAUGACGGUACCCGCAGAAUAAGCACCGGCUAACUCUGUGCCAGCCGCCGCAGUAA